This 299-nucleotide ribosomal RNA is filed under the name Klebsiella pneumoniae. RNAcentral's name for it is "partial 23S ribosomal RNA". It matches the Rfam family "Bacterial large subunit ribosomal RNA", at positions 1271 to 1573 of the family's 2925-position model. Lineage: Bacteria; Pseudomonadati; Pseudomonadota; Gammaproteobacteria; Enterobacterales; Enterobacteriaceae. The record is from RNAcentral.
UGCUGGAGGUAUCAGAAGUGCGAAUGCUGACAUAAGUAACGAUAAAGCGGGUGAAAAGCCCGCUCGCCGGAAGACCAAGGGUUCCUGUCCAACGUUAAUCGGGGCAGGGUGAGUCGACCCCUAAGGCGAGGCCGAAAGGCGUAGUCGAUGGGAAACAGGUUAAUAUUCCUGUACUUGGUGUUACUGCGAAGGGGGGACGGAGAAGGCUAUGUUAGCCGGGCGACGGUUGUCCCGGUUUAAGCAUGUAGGCUGGUUAUCCAGGCAAAUCCGGAUAAUCAAGGCUGAGGUGUGAUGACGAG